GACGAACCGAGCGAACGUUGUUCGGAAUAACUGGGCUUAAAGGGCGCGUAGGCGGGCUGUCAAGUCUGGGGUGAAAUCCCGCGGCUCAACCGCGGAACUGCCUCAGAUACUGACGGCCUCGAGGGAGGUAGGGGCGAGCGGAACGAAUGGUGGAGCGGUGAAAUGCGUUGAUAUCAGGAGGAACACCAAUAGCGAAGGCAGCUCGCUGGGACGUUACUGACACUGAGGCGCGAAAGCGUGGGGAGCGAACAGG
RNAcentral lists this ribosomal RNA (253 nucleotides) under uncultured bacterium. Its description in RNAcentral is "partial 16S ribosomal RNA". It matches the Rfam family "Bacterial small subunit ribosomal RNA", at positions 524 to 776 of the family's 1533-position model. The record is from RNAcentral.